AAAUGGGUUUCUGGAGACAGAGUGGCUGCUCCAAUAAAGUAUAAAACCGAGAAGGCUCUGAGGAAACUCAAAUCUUCAUUUUGCAGAGCUGUCUCAAGAGCUUGGCACCUGUGUCUCCGUUGUCCCUGCUGUACAGGUGACAGUGGUGAUGAGGACUGUACACAACGAAGUCAUCCUGCUCCUGGUACCAAAUGAGGAUCGCCCUGGAGAGCCAGGAGCAUCAGUGACUUGCAGAAGAAUUGCAGCCACCAUGACUUUGACUCUGAUCGAGCGAGCAGAUGAGAAGGGAGCCGCUGCACCCAGGAUGGACCAUCCUGGAGCCACACAGAGCCUGGGGCCAUCUUCUGAUCACUUUGCCACAGAACUACUAGGAGCAGCUCUUUAGAUUGAAGAAGACCAGGCCACCAGGCCCCAACGCCAUCCAAACAGAGAAGCAGCUUGGAAAAACCCCCUAGGGAGCCAGGGACCUCAGACCCAGCUGCUUCCACUCAGCGGGGCCACAGAAGCUGCUGAGGCCCAGGCUGGGUGUGCACUGAGCAAAGCAAAUGGAUGAUUCCCAGCAGGGAUGUUGAGACAGUUCAUCCACCCUUGACAUCUUCCUACGGCAGCUUGCUGGCUUCUGCCUGUGUCACCUCCCCACAGUCUAAGGAGGGUUGGUCACUUGUUAUGGGGCACUCAGCAGAAGAAUACAGCGUGAUUAUCUCCAUCGUGCGAUGAUGUACCGAGUCCAGAGCCUCUGUCAGGCCUCCUCUGUCCAGCAACUCUGCCACACCAGCAACCUGGGAGCCCCCAACAGCAUCAGGAUUCAGUCCACAGCAAGCCUGGGCCUGCUCUGCUUCUGAUGGGCAGGAGAAGCCAGGGCCUCUCCAGUCCUGCAUUCCUGUCCUUGACAAAGCUCAGCUUGUGGUGGUUCCUACUGAUGCCAGCAGCAUCGGUGUUCUUCAUCUGCAAAGUGCAGGUGGUACAAUCGGCCUCUCCAGGACUGAAUGAUGCUGGACUAUCACUCAGGACAUACACAUGGUAGGUGUCGUCACUGUGGUGCCCGCUGUCUUCUGGAUUUUGGAGCUGGAGUUCUCCACUUGCUGGGACAGCAGAGCCCUGGAGUGGGGAUGCUGUUUGCAGAACCCAGUGAAAACCUCUUGGAGCACAAUUUUACAGUUCUCUGCCUACCUGACAGGAAGUGGCAAGUGCCAGUAGGUGGCUUUCAUCUGCCUUGUGGGUGGGGAUGAUGGCCACUCUCCACCCAGGUCCAGCCAGGAUCUCUUCAGUGGAUGAAGCACUCAUCCUGCACCUCACCCUACAUAGACCAGCCAUCUCCCCCAUGUACCUGUGCCCCUUGAGGUUCCUUUGGUCUCCCCACUCCCUGCUGCUUCUCUACCACAACAGUCCCCACCUCCUGUCUAAUCUUACCUAGGUGCUGACAUUUAGUGAACAAUGAUGGGAUGGCUCUGAUAGACAUCACCACCAUCAUAUUAAGUCUAUGCCAGAGUGGGAGCAGAGUUGGAUUCUCACCUCCAUUUGCCUGAAGACCCAAUGGAGGCUCAGUGUCUUGGGUACCUUGGCUCUGAAAAAAGGUGGACAGAAAGCCACAUGACCAGACCAUUUCCUUGGCCUCCUGUGGACCCCUCCUCUUUUCUCCCCAUCCCACAGCCCUGAAGCCCCCACACCCAGGCCAAAGAUUGCCUCUUCAAACAUGGGUAUGGCCAGUGCCCCACACCUGGGAUGUGGUGACUGCUUCAAACUGUCCACCACCCAGCUUGUGACAUUGUGCCCCUGUCCUUCCACGCUGGGCUCCCUGGAAUUGGCCCCUGGCCCACCAGCCCCUUCCCCAGGGUCUGUUGGCCUUGUCCAUCCCAGCCCACCUCAGUCACAGACCCUCAGCCCUCCUCCUGUCCUCUCUCCCUUGCCUUAGCCCAGCCCAGGAGACCCUCCCAAGAACACUGUUGGGCAGCAGCAGGGGAUUGUGUGGCCCUAGGGAAUCUGAGUGCCUGAGGCAGUUUCAGGAGAGGUGGGCCGCCUUCCUUUUUCCUGUUUUCCAGGCUGGUUUGCCAGUCUAAUUGUGCUUUCUCUCUCCAUACUACUGGUAAAGAACCAGAUGAUGACCACCAACAUCUGGCUAAAGCAGGUAAGGCCCUUCCCUGAAGGAAGGGACAGAACCCAUUGACCCCAGCCCCUGUAGGAAUUUCUGCUAGUGAGGGCCCAAGGAGAAGCUAGAUCCAGAAUUCAUGGUUCACGAACAGUGGCUGCUUAGGAUGGCCAGGGCCAACUGGCAGCAGACAGCUCCUGAGAGCUGUGCUCCUUUGUGGCUAGAGUGCUUGGCAUCUGGCUGGUGGCUGGAUCUGUUCUGGGAGGUCCAAGGCUGCUUCUGUUACAUGUAUGUACUUUGGCAGGGGGAUAUGGGAGGUUCCGGAAGGCUCUAGAAGGUUCUGGAAGGCUGGGCCUGACAGGGAUCCUCACCCUGUCAGGCACUUGGAAGGUCUUUCUCCAGCAGGGGAGCUGGAUUCUCACUUGGUGGCUCAGGGCUUCCAAGGUGACAGUUCCAAGAGGCACGAAGUAGAAGCUGCUGCGGUUCUCUUACUUUUGGACACUAGCCCAGCAUCAGUUCUGCUGUACUCCACUGAUCCAAAGGAAUCCAGCUGGAUCCAGGCUCUUCCCAGCCACUCCCCAAUCCCCAACACAGAGGAGGCUGGAGAGUAAAUGAAAGAGGACCCAGACCCUGGCACACAGCAUUUUCCUCCAGCCCACUGGUAUCUGCCUGUCCCUAUGGCAGAGCUUCCUCAUGCACAACCAAGAAGGACCAGUCUGACCAAAGGAACUAGGAGCUCACAGAAGGCAGUGGGGAGGCUGAAGAGAAUCCCAGUGGGCAAAAAUUACUGAGUUAAUUUUUGAUCAAAGAAAUGGAAAUCUAUACUUCAUUUGCACUGUCAGGUAAUUUUUUUUCAUGAGAAGUCAAGCUAAACACUUUUUUAAAAGCAGGGCCUUGAGGAAACCACUGCUUCCUUGAGAUACAAAUAGCUAUGAGGUGCUGCAGCCACAUGAUUUUGGAUAACAGUGGUGUCCACUGAGCUCCCUCCACCCCAGGCCAUGGGAAGACACCUGAGCACAAUAGAGUCCUCAGUAAAGACACCAGCCUCCAGCUGGCCCAGCCCCUGGCCAUUGGUCCCAACUUAGGAAAUGCUGUUUUUGAAUGAUAAAUAAAGGUGGGGAGGCUCACUUCAGUAUUGUGUGUCUCCAGAUAGGUCAGAGGGAAGCAACAAGGUUUCCUCACACUGUCCAGCUCUGGGCAGGCCCAGUGCCCCCACCCAAGCUGCACCCCUCACUACAGGGUUAUC
Heterocephalus glaber (naked mole-rat) is the source of this 3332-nucleotide non-coding RNA. The record is from RefSeq and is a predicted model, not a curated record. NCBI's taxonomy places the organism in Eukaryota, Metazoa, Chordata, Mammalia, Rodentia, Bathyergidae.